CGGGAUGUAGCGCAGCCUGGUAGCGCACCUGACUGGGGGUCAGGGGGUCGCAGGUUCGAAUCCUGUCAUCCCGACCA
Molecule: transfer RNA, 77 nt
Filed under: Acidobacteriota bacterium
Lineage: Bacteria; Pseudomonadati; Acidobacteriota
Also listed under: 2 other names
Description: Acidobacteria bacterium tRNA-Pro
Rfam family: tRNA
About the family: Transfer RNA (tRNA) molecules are approximately 80 nucleotides in length.
Source: RNAcentral